GGCCGAUUUUGUGAAUAGGAAAUCCUUUCACAGCAUUAAUGUUCAGAUGGUCUGCAAUGCUGACUGUGUGAUCAGCAAUGUUGUGGCAAAAUGGCCUGGCUCAGUCCAUGACUCCAGAAUCUUUCGGGCCUCUGAAAUCUAUCAGUGCCUAUCACAAGGUGAAUUCUCUGGUGUGUUGCUGGGA
Perca fluviatilis (European perch) is the source of this 184-nucleotide long non-coding RNA. RefSeq lists it as uncharacterized. Lineage: Eukaryota; Metazoa; Chordata; Actinopteri; Perciformes; Percidae. The record is from RefSeq and is a predicted model, not a curated record. The transcript has 3 exons.